Molecule: non-coding RNA, 79 nt
Organism: Podarcis lilfordi (Lilford's wall lizard)
Lineage: Eukaryota; Metazoa; Chordata; Lepidosauria; Squamata; Lacertidae
Source: the annotation of a GenBank genome assembly
CCCAGAAGCCAGAACAGCAAGAGGGAUUGUUGCUUUCACUGUGCAGUGGAUGAUCCCUCUUGCUGUUCUGGCUUCUGAG